RNAcentral lists this ribosomal RNA (130 nucleotides) under Jaculus jaculus (lesser Egyptian jerboa). The record is from RNAcentral. Lineage: Eukaryota; Metazoa; Chordata; Mammalia; Rodentia; Dipodidae.
GCCUAUGGCCAUAUGACCCUGACUGCAUGCACCUGAUCUUGGAAGCUAAGCAGGUUCUAGCUGGUUAGUACUCAGAUGGACAGGAGAGAUGAGAAUCAGAUCUGAGUAAGAACGAAAGCAAAUAAAGAUG